UUGCUGUGAUGAUACUGUCAAUGUGGUUUCUACUGGCUGACAGUUGAAUGAGGACAUGAGAUUCCUUGGCUGUGUCUGAGCAC
RNAcentral lists this small nucleolar RNA (83 nucleotides) under Podarcis muralis (Common wall lizard). RNAcentral's name for it is "Small nucleolar RNA SNORD53/SNORD92 (ENSPMRG00000001302.1)". It matches the Rfam family "Small nucleolar RNA SNORD53/SNORD92". Rfam says of the family: U53 is a member of the C/D class of snoRNA which contain the C (UGAUGA) and D (CUGA) box motifs. Most of the members of the box C/D family function in directing site-specific 2'-O-methylation of substrate RNAs. The record is from Rfam by way of RNAcentral. Lineage: Eukaryota; Metazoa; Chordata; Lepidosauria; Squamata; Lacertidae. RNAcentral also lists the same sequence under 1 other name.